AGCAGGGGCAGCCGGGAGGGGAUCUGGAUGGCGCUCGAGUCCAUGGUUCGAGGGUGACAGACGUGCUCCACUGUUCAGCUGGAAAACCAAGGAAUUGAAGAAUUGCCCAUGACAAUUUUCUGCCUUUUAAUGAAGGAUGUUGUAAUAAUGUGCACCAACAAGCAGCAGUGGAAAGGAAAAAGCCUUCCCAGACUUCAAGGCCUGGGCAGAUAAUUUAUGUCUCAGCAACCAGAACUGUACGCAGCACUCCAAGAGUACUGUCCAGAUCGAGCAUCACUUCAGGGAUCUGAAAUAAACUGAUGUUAAAAAUCAAAUUAGUAAUCUUCAUGCUUGAACUCCAUUGAUCCUCAGACGUUCUACUGUUACCUAACACAAUGUUAUUAGCUUGGCAUCCAAUCCCACCACUGUGCAGCACUCCGAGACACUAUCCUGUGUGAAGGACGCUACAUAAAUUGUUGUUGUCAUAGUCUUACCGUUGUAGGCAUUGUUAUAAAAAU
Molecule: long non-coding RNA, 497 nt
Organism: Callorhinchus milii (elephant shark)
Lineage: Eukaryota; Metazoa; Chordata; Chondrichthyes; Chimaeriformes; Callorhinchidae
Exons: 3
Source: RefSeq, a predicted model, not a curated record